Molecule: ribosomal RNA, 717 nt
Filed under: Vibrio sp. HC0601C5
Lineage: Bacteria; Pseudomonadati; Pseudomonadota; Gammaproteobacteria; Vibrionales; Vibrionaceae
Description: bacterial SSU rRNA
Rfam family: Bacterial small subunit ribosomal RNA
Source: RNAcentral
UGCAGUCGAGCGGAACGACACCAUAUCAGAUAUCUUCGGGGGCAUGUUGUUGGGCGUCGAGCGGCGGACGGGUGAGUAAUGCCUAGGAAAUUGCCUUGAUGUGGGGGAUAACCAUUGGAAACGAUGGCUAAUACCGCAUAAUGCCUACGGGCCAAAGAGGGGGAUCUUCGGACCUCUCGCGUCAAGAUAUGCCUAGGUGGGAUUAGCUAGUUGGUGAGGUAAUGGCUCACCAAGGCGACGAUCCCUAGCUGGUCUGAGAGGAUGAUCAGCCACACUGGAACUGAGACACGGUCCAGACUCCUACGGGAGGCAGCAGUGGGGAAUAUUGCACAAUGGGCGAAAGCCUGAUGCAGCCAUGCCGCGUGUAUGAAGAAGGCCUUCGGGUUGUAAAGUACUUUCAGUUGUGAGGAAGGGGGUGUAGUUAAUAGCUGCGUAUCUUGACGUUAGCAACAGAAGAAGCACCGGCUAACUCCGUGCCAGCAGCCGCGGUAAUACGGAGGGUGCGAGCGUUAAUCGGAAUUACUGGGCGUAAAGCGCAUGCAGGUGGUUCAUUAAGUCAGAUGUGAAAGCCCGGGGCUCAACCUCGGAACUGCAUUUGAAACUGGUGAACUAGAGUGCUGUAGAGGGGGGUAGAAUUUCAGGUGUAGCGGUGAAAUGCGUAGAGAUCUGAAGGAAUACCAGUGGCGAAGGCGGCCCCCUGGACAGACACUGACACUC